Molecule: ribosomal RNA, 498 nt
Filed under: uncultured bacterium
Lineage: Bacteria
Description: partial 16S ribosomal RNA
Rfam family: Bacterial small subunit ribosomal RNA
Source: RNAcentral
GACGAACGCUGGCGGCGUGCCUAAUACAUGCAAGUCGAACGAGAGCGCCCGGUGCUUGCACUGGUCAAUCUAGUGGCGAACGGGUGAGUAACACGUGGGUAACCUGCCCAUCAGAGGGGGAUAACAUCCGGAAACGGAUGCUAAAACCGCAUAGGUCUUCGAGCCGCAUGGCUUGAAGAGGAAAAGAGGCGCAAGCUUCUGCUGAUGGAUGGGCCCGCGGUGCAUUAGCUAGUUGGUGAGGUAACGGCUCACCAAGGCCGUGAUGCAUAGCCGACCUGAGAGGGUGAUCGGCCACAUUGGGACUGAGACACGGCCCAAACUCCUACGGGAGGCAGCAGUAGGGAAUCUUCCGCAAUGGACGCAAGUCUGACGGAGCAACGCCGCGUGAGUGAAGAAGGUUUUCGGAUCGUAAAACUCUGUUGUUAGAGAAGAACAAGUGCUAGAGUAACUGUUAGCGCCUUGACGGUAUCUAACCAGAAAGCCACGGCUAACUACGUG